This 588-nucleotide ribosomal RNA is filed under the name uncultured bacterium. RNAcentral describes it as "partial 16S ribosomal RNA". It matches the Rfam family "Bacterial small subunit ribosomal RNA", at positions 355 to 1375 of the family's 1533-position model. The record is from RNAcentral.
UGGGGAAUAUUGCACAAUGGGCGCAAGCCUGAUGCAGCCAUGCCGCGUGUGUGAAGAAGGCCUUCGGGUUGUAAAGCACUUUCAGCGAGGAGGAAGGUGGUGAGCUUAAUACGCUCAUCAAUUGACGUUACUCGCAGAAGAAGCACCGGUAACUCCGUGCCAGCAGCCGCGGUAAUACGGAGGGUGCAAGCGUUAAUCGGAAUUACUGGGCGUAAAGCGCACGCAGGCGGUUUGUUAAGUCAGAUGUGAAAUCCCCGGGCUCAACCUGGGAACUGCAUUUGAAACUGGCAAGCUAGAGUCUCGUAGAGGGGGGUAGAAUUCCAGGUGUAGCGGUGAAAUGCGUAGAGAUCUGGAGGAAUACCGGUGGCGAAGGCGGCCCCCUGGACGAAGACUGACGCUCAGGUGCGAAAGCGUGGGGAGCAAAACAGGAUUAGAUACCCUGGUAGUCCACGCUGUAAAACGAUGUCGAUUUUGGAGGUUGUGCCCUUGAGGCGUGGCUUCCGGAGCUAACGCGUUAAAUCGACCGCCUGGGGAGUACGGCCGCAAGGUUAAAACUUAAAUGAAUUGACGGGGUCAUAGCUGUUUCCU